RNAcentral lists this ribosomal RNA (305 nucleotides) under uncultured bacterium. Its description in RNAcentral is "bacterial SSU rRNA". It matches the Rfam family "Bacterial small subunit ribosomal RNA", at positions 334 to 656 of the family's 1533-position model. The record is from RNAcentral.
UGGUCCUACGGGACGCAGCAGUGGGGAAUAUUGCACAAUGGGGGGAACCCUGAUGCAGCGACGCCGCGUGGGUGAGGAAGUACUUCGGUAUGUAAAGCCCCAUCAGCAGGGAAGAAAAUGACGGUACCUGACUAAGAAGCCCCGGCUAACUACGUGCCAGCAGCCGCGGUAAUACGUAGGGGGCAAGCGUUAUCCGGAUUUACUGGGUGUCAAGGGAGCGUAGACGGCGUGCCAAGUCUGGCGUGAAAGGCCGGGGCUCAACCCCGGGACUGCAUUGGAAACUGGCAUGCUGGAGUGCCGGCGGG